AGUGUCUGCGGAGAAGCCCGACACCCACACGGUUGCCCACGAUUGUUAGAGGCUCUGGAGAGAGGACUGGGAGCUGGGACCCGUGAAUUUCCCCGUUUGCGACCCUGAGUCGCGCAGCCCAUUGACCUGAGGCCCCGCUGGCGGUGAGGUGAAGCCGGCCCGGACACCCGAGCUAAGUUUACCCUGGAAUGGGUUUACCCUAGGCUGGUGGGGGUCGUGACUGGGGCUCUUCAAGGACUUGGAGAGGCGGGCAAGGAGAACCCACCCUUGUGGAGAAAACAGUUCCACCGAGGCCCGAGGACAAAUGGAACGAUGCUCGUUGACUUGCUCGGCGGAGCCUUAGGGAGCUGUUAGCAUGCAGCUGGGCCUGUUAUAGGCAUCGUGGGUGUUUUCCUCUUGCCCAGCCUUUCGAAGGACCAGAGAAAACCCUUUCCGUGGGCCCCCAGGCCAUCUCACACGCACUGGUCAGUUCGCCUUUCUCAGACGAAAGGUUCUUACCCUUUAAGGUACUUCGAGCUCUUAGAUUUUCCUCUGAGUGUCCGAAGCCCACGAUAAAGGGACUUCGCCAGCCUUGUCCUUAGGUGUGCCGGAGAAGCCAGGACGGAGCAGAUGUUAUUUGCCCUUGGAAAAACAAAUCUGCCAAGAGGCAUUCCAUCUGAUCUGAGCCUCCUAAGAACACCUGACAAUUUUGUCUCAACAGUAGAAAUUCAGUCUCUCCAAAACCCCAUCCAUCUAUGGGAGAGUUCAAGCUUAAGUAAAUCGAACCCUCCUCCCAAUUGCGUUAAUCCACCCAUCAGUAUUGUGCUUGUGUUAAAACCCAACCAAAAUCAAAUCAUUUUUAAGCACACGGCUGUUUUCAGCAACCAUGUUUCUUUCAAGUCCACCCAAAAACAGAAAACAAAAAGCCGUUUUACCACUAAUUUCAGUUGGUUGCAAAAUCUGUUACUUGAGAUCCUCACACUAGGAUGGGAAAGUGGAUUCCUGAGAUGGCUCCAGGCAAAGGGAGGUGUGUUUCCUUGCAAGAAAAAUGUUAACCCCAAAACCGAGUACCGGAGAUUAGUUCCCAACCAUGCAAGAGGCAGGAGAUCAUUGCUUUCUGCUACAAAAUCUGAUGGACUUUGUUUAGUUUGAGUGUGUUUUUGUUUUUGGCAGUGUCAUCUUUAGGUAACUUUCAAAAAAAAAUCUAUUGUUUUAAUAAGCCAACAUGUUCAGAAGCUAGUAUUCUAAUUAACUGAGUUAUCUUGUUAACCAACUGAUACAAAAUAUUCUAGUAAGGUUAUUCACACCUUACUUCUUAAUUUAGGUUAAGCUCUUUGGUAGCGUCUUAAUUUUUACAAAUUCAGAAUGGAAACUGCUUUUGACUAACUGGUCUAGAGAGAAGCUUUAUAAAAACAGAGAGGAGGUUUUUAAAGUCCAUAGAAAUUAUUUCUGAAUAUAGAAAACAGAAGUAGAAGGUGUCAGAAAUUCAAGUAUAUAUUAAGUGUAGGAACUCUUCAUCUUAAUUUAACCCCCGCCCCCAUACUGGAGAUUUUGCAUUACUUGUAUACAAGCUAACACCACCAUUUUAUGCCCUUAUAAGGGUGCACAGCAAAGGAAACCAUAAAUAAGACAAAAAGACAACCCUCAGAAUGGGAGAAAAUAUUUGCAAAUGAAACAACAGACAAAGGAUUAAUCUCCAAAAUAUACAAACAGCUCAUGGAGCUCGGUAUCAAAAAAAACUAUAUGAUUUUAUUAUAACAUCUUUGUAUUGCUCAAGUAUUCCUCUUUUGUCACAAUGAGCUUUUGAGUGGAGAUCUUUCAUUCUGAUUGGGAUAAGAUUAGGCUGUUCAGUAGUAGUGGCCGCUAAUGGCUUGAGGCAUUUAAUGUUUGUUAACCAGGGUGUUACUCUGUGUCAUUUAUUUUUAUAUACAAAACAGCUUGUCAUUGGCGGGGGUUGGAGGAGGGAUGUCCUCCACAGCAAAAAUGAGGAACUCUAAAACUUUAUAGUUUAACCAUUGAAGAUGAAAAGGAAUAAUCAGGUGUACAUUUAAACGUGACUUUUUUCAUCUUUUCUGUCCUUCAUGAUUUUUUUUACUAUAUCAGAUAAUUACUAAAGAUCUCUAUGUUUAAACCAGGACUUGCUGUGAUGAAGGUAGUUUUUACCUUUCAAUUUGAACCUUCUGGGAAGUCACACUAUAUUCUUGGCAUCAUAAUUCUCUCUUUGGCACCUGAUUUCAUAGACCACAAUUAUGACCUCACCAAACAGCAUAUCUUCGGUAAUUUCAUGGUUUCCAAGUAUUUCUUAAAUUGGACCAUGCCAAGUAAAAUUCUCUGCAGGUCAUUUUCUAGAUACCUUUUCACUGAGCUUCGAAAACAAAAGUCCAUGAAAUAAUCUGUUUGCAGCGUGGGCUUGUGGAGUGUUAGCCACAGGUUCCUGAGCUUUGUAAUGUAGGGAUCCUAAGCACCUUACGUUUGUGGUGACGUGUACGAUUUUUUUCUCUCCCUCGGUGGUAUUACCUCUGUUUUACAGAUGUGGAAACGUGGCCAGAGUUGCACAGUGAGUAAAUCGUGGAGGCAAGGCAUUGACGCAGGUCACGCUGACUACAAAGCAGUAUGGCCUUUCAGGGACAAAAAAGUGAGAGGGGGAGUCAAGAAGAGACCGUUGAGGAAAAUGAGCUAACGCUUUCUUAGCAGCUGGGGGAAGAACAAAUCUGGAGAUGUUAUGAAAGGUAAAGAAACAAGCAGCAGGAAGGAUAAAUUUAGUUUAAAAAAAUGGACUACCUAAUGUUCUUGCAAAAUAAGCCUUCCUGAAAUAUUCCACAUAGUACACAUCCCUUCUUUUCUUUAUUUGUAUGAAAUAUUCACUACGAUAACAUAUUUGAACGUGCUUUGAAAACCUAAGUCCUAAACAAAUACGAAGCGUCAUUAAUGGUAACAGUCUUUGAGACUUUUAGAGGAAAAUGUGGAGUGUAGUUAUUGCUGCUUUUUUAAUGUGUUUGUCCUAUUUUAAUAGUGUAGUUGAUAAAGUAUAAAGUUCCUGUUAGGUGCCAUAAAUAGAAGAAAAUGGCAGUGGUGCACCCAAAUAGGACAGGUGUGAUUGUGGAUUUGAAGUUUUCUGUGAAAAAAAAACUGAACGGGAUGUUGGUGUUGUAUGAAUUGAAAGCUUUUCUUUUUAUCUACUUCUUUAGUGUCUCUUGAGCUGUGCAGCAGUAAGCCUAUUAAAUUUGGACCAAACUCAGAGUAGUUUCCUUUUCCUCUUGUCCUCCCAAAUCAAGGAUAGCAGCUCUGUUGUCCUUUCCUGCUCAGUCCAUUGUCAUUUUCUUAUUUGAGAAAUAAUUCUCUGGGAACACUUACUGUGGCUGAAAGGUGCUCUAUCUUGAGUGUAGAGCCCCCAGCCUAGGAAAUGACAGGGUCUAUUUCAAGCCUGAGCCAAAGUUCCCAGGGUUUCUGUUUGGGGAGGUGUUCAGCCCUCAUAAGGAUUUCAGGCAGCCAGAACAGGAGGAUGAGCUAGAUGUGAAAAGGAGAGAAAGGCUGCGUUAUCUUUACUCCCAUUCGGCAGGGAGCACCAGCACCCACUUCUGAGACAGAGAUUAUCGUUAAGCAUUUCACAGAAAACCACCCUCUCGCUUAGCUUCUGGGGCCAUCAGCUGGCCGCUUUGUCUUUUUAAAGCUCACUGUGUUUGGUCCUUCACCAUCGAUUAGGUCAUUGUUUUUGAGACCUAUCUUAUCUCCUUAUUCGGGAGGGGGAAGCAAGACCAUGACUAAGCAGGUACUCAGCACUCCUGAAUUCUGGUCUCAACUUUUUAAACAUUAUAAACGUAAGAAACAAUAGCUCUUAAAAGUGUCUGUCCUAGCAGUUGGAAGAACUUGCUAAUUCCUGUGUCCUUUGCUUCUCAAACUUCAAUGUGCCUCUGAAUCACUUGAGGAUCUUAUUAAAACACAGGUUCUCUGGGACUUCCCUGGCGGUCCAGUGGUUAGGCCUCUGCGCUUUCACUGCUGUGGGCCUGGGUUCGAUCCCUGGUUGGGGAACUGAGAUCCAGCAAGCUGUGCGGCACAGCCAAAAAAAAGAAAAAAAACACACAGGUUCUCAUUUAGAAGGUCCUGAGAUUCUUCAUUCCUGACAAGCUCCCAGGGGGUGCUGUGGCUGCUGCUCUGUGGACCACACUCUGAUAGCAAGAUUCUAGAGCGACCUUAUCCACUACAGUAGCCGCGAGCACAUGUGGCUAGUCCAGACUGACAUGUGCUGUAAGCGUGGCCACACUUCAGAUUUUGCAGAUCUCAUAUAAAAAAAUCUAAAUAAUUUUUUAUAUUGAUUAUAUGUUGAAGUAAUAUUUGGGAUAUAUUGGAUUAAAUAAAGUAUAUUGAAAUUC
Phocoena sinus (vaquita) is the source of this 4349-nucleotide long non-coding RNA. The record is from Ensembl. Lineage: Eukaryota; Metazoa; Chordata; Mammalia; Artiodactyla; Phocoenidae.